CCUGGUGGCUCAGAGGCUAAAGCGUCUGCCUCCAGUGCAGGAGACCUGGGUUCGAUCCCUGGAUCAGGA
Molecule: transfer RNA, 69 nt
Filed under: Ovis aries (sheep)
Lineage: Eukaryota; Metazoa; Chordata; Mammalia; Artiodactyla; Bovidae
Rfam family: tRNA
About the family: Transfer RNA (tRNA) molecules are approximately 80 nucleotides in length. Their secondary structure includes four short double-helical elements and three loops (D, anti-codon, and T loops).
Source: Rfam by way of RNAcentral